GAUUAAGAACGUAGCGAAAUGCGAUACGUAAUGUGAAUUGCAGAUUUCAGUGAAUCAUCGAAUCUUUGAACGCACAUUGCGCCCGCCAGUAUUCUGGCGGGCAUGCCUGUUCGAGCGUCAUUUCAACCAUCAAGCGCCUCGCUUGUGUUGGGGCCCUGCGGCUGCCGCAGGCCCCUAAAUCCAGUGGCGGGCUCGUCGUCGUACCGAGUGCAGUAAACAUCCUCGCUCAGGGAACCCGACGGGUGCCGGCCGUGAAACCCCCCCUCCUCAAGGUUGACCUCGGAUCAGGUAGGAAUACCCGCUGAACUUAAGCAUAUCAAUAGCGGAGGA
Molecule: unclassified non-coding RNA, 330 nt
Filed under: soil metagenome
Description: partial contains 5.8S ribosomal RNA, internal transcribed spacer 2, and large subunit ribosomal RNA
Rfam family: 5.8S ribosomal RNA (bases 1-120)
Source: RNAcentral